This 219-nucleotide ribosomal RNA is filed under the name uncultured bacterium. Its description in RNAcentral is "partial 16S ribosomal RNA". It matches the Rfam family "Bacterial small subunit ribosomal RNA", at positions 524 to 741 of the family's 1533-position model. The record is from RNAcentral.
UACGUAGGGGGCAAGCGUUGUCCGGAUUUAUUGGGCGUAGAGAGCUCGUAGGCGGUUUGUCGCGUCUGCUGUGAAAACCUAAGGCUCAACCUUGGGCUUGCAGUGGGUACGGGCAGACUAGAGUGCGGUAGGGGUGACUGGAAUUCCUGGUGUAGCGGUGGAAUGCGCAGAUAUCAGGAGGAACACCAAUUGGCGAAGGCAGCUCGCUGGGACGUUACU